CGUGAUCCACCUGCGCGCACGCACAUCACCGCCACUCAUCCACCUCGUCGUGUAGUAUCCACACACCCAAACGCACGUAAAUCCGUAGCGGGAGAUACAGACAGCGUCGGCGCCUUCCCUCGCCUCCCCAACCCGACACUUACACGCAUUCACGAUGUCCGACUCUCAUCAGAUUUACGCGGUGGCCGGUCACGCACUUCCGCUGCCGCCCAAGCGCACACCGCCUCGCUACAGCACUAUCACCCGCUCUGAGGAGCAAGAGUGCCGCAUAAGUGUCCGUGCAAACUCUCCCGGUCGCGCCGAGACGCCGCGUGAUGGCGAGAUAAGUCCCGUCGCUGUAGCCCUGCAGCGCGAAUCACAACUCGGAUACCGCGGCGAGGCUGCUCAUCCUCCGCCAGAGGACUCGAAGCACCUGGCUCCACCCACCUUGCAGAAGUCCAAGGUGCCAUCGAGUCGGCUGGCCGGACCGUCAACGCCGCGGCAGCAGUCGCAGAAGUCGACGGAGCUGGAGCUCGACGACCUCAGCAGCUGCUUCUCGUCACACUGCAACAGCGCGCCAGAUACCAACGCGAAGAUGCACGCGGCAAGCGAGUUCUUGGCUCAGGGCGGCUACGCGACCCCUCCUCAUUUGAAUAUGACCGCCGUCGUACCAGAGGACGGUAGCUCCAUCGACAGCCGUCCGUCUCUGAACCGCACCAAAUUUGAGGCAGCAGUGGCGGCAGCAGAGGAUCAGGAUCGCAAUGUCGUUCCCGCGCGGCCCAUCGAGACGUCUAGGACUCGCCGCAGCCAGGCGCCUGCCAACCACCACAGCACCCCGGUCGCAGCGGCGCCGGCGAGCGGCACCCGCUCUACAGCAACACAGUCCACUUUGUCGCGCUACAACCAUUCCAAGGGAUGCGGGGCGUACAGCGGCGACCAGCGGCAGCAGGCUGAGAGCACAGACGGAGCUCCUCAGAAGCAUCAGCAACAGCAGCCAAGGCCACGAGGCGCACCUGCCACGGAAGCUGCGGCGCACCCAGCAGCCUCGGCGGCGAGCAGCGCGGGCAGCAGCAGGCGAAGAGGUGUGUCAUCGCAUGAGCGCUCACCAAGCGAGGCAAGCUCCUACCGUCGCGACAAGCAUAGCGCCCGCAGCGCACCCGUGUGUUAUGUCGAGCAGCACAGCCGCUCCCCGGUCAGAAAUAACAGAGCAGCCCUCUUGUCAUCCCCAGUGUCGGUCGAUCCUCAUCUCACCCACGAGUACUCUCAGCAGAAGAUGGAGGAGCGCCGAGCGUCGAAGUCGCGUGUGGUGCCCAGCAGUCAGUCAACGGCUGUGGUGGUGGUUUCAUCAAACGCGUGGAACAGUAUCCGCACUUCCCGCAACGGCGAAGACCCGCUGGAGAUGAGCGUCCCUAUCGCAGAGCGAGUGAACUUCAUGUCCACAUUGGCACGGCACCGCGACAGCUCGGCGUCCGUGCCUAUGGGGACGCUGGAGGGCACGGAGCUGCUGCCGGGGCUGCCCCAGCUGCAGGGGCACCGAAACGAUGACAAUGCCGAUCGCCCCUACCGCACCAUUAUCCGCUUCAUCGAAUAUCAGCCCAAGGGGGAGCGACCCGGAUUGGAAGAGAUACUGGCCAGCUACUCUGGUCGUGAGGACGCGCUGUGUUGCGCCUUGGGUGAAGCGUACGGCGACGACUUUGAGAUGCUGAAACUCGGUUGUAGCCACACGCCGGCGGUUCCGCUCUUGGCAGAUCGCCCCUCUGCCGACAAGCGCGCCACCGCCUCAUAAGCAGAGCUACGUUGUGGCUGUACCUCACAAGCUCCGCGAGUAUCCUGUGCACGUUGCGCUGCGGCUGAACAGGGCGCAGCCGCGGGAGAGGGUGGCGUUUCAGCCAGCUAGCCCUGCAGAGCCUCCUCACAGCCGCAGCGGACAGCACAUGUGAGGGGCCCCGUAUCAACACACUAACGGCGGCGAUGGCGUGGUUCCGCAGGAGUGGCGGGAAAUUGAAGACAAGUACAAGGAAUCUUCAUCAAAGCCUAUGAACGUGUCACGCGAUGUCGGAGAGCAGAGGCCGUAUGAUGACCGCGUUGAAGAGAGCGGUGCCCGAGGUGCCUCAACGCCAUCUCGACAGAGAUACGAGAAGGCUACACACAAUGAGGGGGGGGGGCGUAAACUUCCUUACCCUUGCUCGCGCUCACAGCACUUAGCUUACCACCCCCCCCCUCCCAUCUCCCUUUCCGGCUGUUGCUCCGGGGACGCACGUCUGGCUGUGUGCGUCGGCGACGCCCCCUGUCUCCGAGCGCGCCCUCCCCCUCCCCCUCCUCCUCUUCCUCUCCUUCCUUUUUGCGACCAUUGUUUUCCAUCUAUAUCUAUAUAUAUAUAUAUGUUUAUCUGUAUCUCUCCCUCUCUCUAUAUUGAUGCUUUUUGCAUUGCCUCUUUCACUUCCUAUUUCCCCUCCCCUUCAUGAGCCAGCGACGGUUGCGAGCGAAAG
RNAcentral lists this unclassified non-coding RNA (2468 nucleotides) under Leishmania donovani. RNAcentral's name for it is "gene:LdHU3.24.2370(CDS-product:hypothetical_prote in_conserved)". The record is from RNAcentral. Lineage: Eukaryota; Euglenozoa; Kinetoplastea; Trypanosomatida; Trypanosomatidae.